CCUACGGGAGGCAGCAGUGGGGAAUAUUGGGCAAUGGGCGCAAGCCUGACCCAGCAACGCCGCGUGAAGGAAGAAGGCUCUCGGGUUGUAAACUUCUUUUCUGAGGGACGAAGAAAGUGACGGUACCUCAGGAAUAAGCGACGGCUACCUACGUGCAAGCAGUCGCGGUAAGACGUAGGUGGCAAGCGUUAUCCGGAUUUACUGGGUGUAAAGGGGGCGUAGGGGGGUGGGGAAGUCAGAUGUGAAAUCUAUGGGCUUAACCCAUAGACUGCAUUUGAAACUGUACUUCUUGAGUGCAGGAGAGGCAAUCGGAAUUCCGUGUGUAGCGGUGAAAUGCGUAGAUAUACGGAAGAACGCCGAUGGCGAAGGCAGAUUGCUAGACAGUAACUGACGCUGAGGCGCGAAAGCGUGGGUAGCAAACAGGAUUAGAUACCCCUGUAGUC
This 443-nucleotide ribosomal RNA is filed under the name uncultured bacterium. Its description in RNAcentral is "partial 16S ribosomal RNA". It matches the Rfam family "Bacterial small subunit ribosomal RNA", at positions 338 to 795 of the family's 1533-position model. The record is from RNAcentral.